GAUGAACGCUGGCGGCGUGCCUAAUACAUGCAAGUCGAGCGAAGAGUGGACGGGUGAGUAACACGUGGAUAACCUCCUUUAAGACUGGGAUAACUUCGGGAAACCGGAGCUACAACGGAUACUUAUAGAUGGAUCCGAGCGGCAGUAGCUAGUUGCUAAGGUAACGGCUUACCAAUGCAACGACGCAUAGCCGACCUGAGAGGGUGAUCGGCCACACUGGAACGGAGACACGGGCCAGACUCCUACGGGAGGCAGCAGUAGGGAAUCUUCCGCAAUGGGCUGAAGCCUGAAGGAGCAAUGCCGCGUGAGUGAUGAAGGUCUUCGGAUCGUAAAGGUCUGUCAGUAGGGAAGCGGUCCCUACGCAGAAAGCAACGGCUAACUCCGUGCCAGCAGCCGCGGUAAUAC
This 405-nucleotide ribosomal RNA is filed under the name uncultured bacterium. RNAcentral's name for it is "partial 16S ribosomal RNA". It matches the Rfam family "Bacterial small subunit ribosomal RNA", at positions 28 to 526 of the family's 1533-position model. The record is from RNAcentral.